This 401-nucleotide ribosomal RNA is filed under the name uncultured bacterium. Its description in RNAcentral is "bacterial SSU rRNA". It matches the Rfam family "Bacterial small subunit ribosomal RNA", at positions 138 to 535 of the family's 1533-position model. The record is from RNAcentral.
GGGGGAUAACGUCCGGAAACGGACGCUAAUACCGCAUACUUCCUACGGGAAAAAGCAGGGGACCUUCGGGCCUUGCGCUAUCAAAUGAGCCUAGGUCGGAUUAGCUAGUUGGUGGGGUAAUGGCUCACCAAGGCGACAAUCCGUAACUGGUCUGAGAGGAUGAUCAGUCACACUGGAACUGAGACACGGUCCAAACUCCUACGGGAGGCAGCAGUGGGGAAUAUUGGACAAUGGGCGAAAGCCUGAUCCCCCAUGCCGCGUGUGUGAAGAAGGUCUUCGGAUUGUAAAGCAGUUUAAGUUGGGAAGAAGGGCAAUAUAUUAAUACUUUGCUGUUUUGACGUUACCGACAAAAUAAACACCGGCUUACUCUGUGCCAGCAGCCGCUGUAAUACAGAGAGUGC